GCAUUCAUUGGGACGUUUAUGGACUGGGCAGCUCUCCCACAGUUCGGCGCUAAGUCUAGAUGGAGGCAGCAUGGCGGGACCACGGCCCGCAUCCGUGCUGCAGGUGAGCGGUCCUGGGCUCAGGGGCGGAUGCAGGGAGAUGCUGCAAGGGCACGAUUCUCUCCAGGUCUCAGCGGCCUGCGCUGCUACUGAAGAGGUGGCGGUGGCUACUCCAGGGCUGUGCAGGAGAACCGGGGCGGGGACGAGGAGGAGGUUGUCAGUCAACAGGAGGACCUUCCCGCGGCCCCGCCCACCGCGCCUCCCGCAGGCCCCUCCCGCCCCGCUCAGCCUGUGCCAUGAUCUGGGGUCUGGUGCUGCAUGAAGGUAGACUGGUCCUCCAGCUGGACUGUGACAAAGGAGUCUGGAAAGGAAUCCCCAGGCACACAGGCUUAGCAGUGCGCCUGUGAGAACCCAGACAUCUGGUGGCUGGGUCCAGACUGGUCCUGGCUCCGGAAAUUUGACUUGAGAGUCUAGUCUGAUGCGACAGGCAAGACUCCAGACUCUUGUUCUUCGUCUGGGAGCACCUGUCCAGAGCACCUGCCCUAGUAACAAGGUCUUGAAGAUCUCUGGGAAUUCCUAGUCUGAUGGAAGAAACAUGGCCUUUGACUCUGGGAGAUACCAAUCUGAUGGAGACGACAUGGCC
This 682-nucleotide long non-coding RNA is filed under the name Rattus norvegicus (Norway rat). RNAcentral describes it as "long non-coding RNA NONRATT000445". The record is from RNAcentral. Lineage: Eukaryota; Metazoa; Chordata; Mammalia; Rodentia; Muridae.